Molecule: transfer RNA, 72 nt
Filed under: Chelonia mydas (Green sea turtle)
Lineage: Eukaryota; Metazoa; Chordata; Testudines; Cheloniidae
Rfam family: tRNA
About the family: Transfer RNA (tRNA) molecules are approximately 80 nucleotides in length. Their secondary structure includes four short double-helical elements and three loops (D, anti-codon, and T loops). Further hydrogen bonds mediate the characteristic L-shaped molecular structure. tRNAs have two regions of fundamental functional importance: the anti-codon, which is responsible for specific mRNA codon recognition, and the 3' end, to which the tRNAs corresponding amino acid is attached (by aminoacyl-tRNA synthetases). tRNAs cope with the degeneracy of the genetic code in two manners: having more than one tRNA (with a specific anti-codon) for a particular amino acid; and 'wobble' base-pairing, i.e. permitting non-standard base-pairing at the 3rd anti-codon position.
Source: Rfam by way of RNAcentral
GGUCCCAUGGUGUAAUGGUCAGCACUCAGGGCUCUGAGUCCUGCUAUCUGAGUUCAAAUGUCAGUGGGACUU